RNAcentral lists this ribosomal RNA (469 nucleotides) under uncultured bacterium. RNAcentral describes it as "partial 16S ribosomal RNA". It matches the Rfam family "Bacterial small subunit ribosomal RNA", at positions 28 to 507 of the family's 1533-position model. The record is from RNAcentral.
GAUGAACGCUGGCGGCGUGCUUAACACAUGCAAGUCGAACGGUGAAGCGCCAGCUUUCUGGAGUGGAUCAGUGGCGAACGGGUGAGUAACACGUGUGCAACCUGCGCCUGACUCUGGGAUAACACCCGGAAACGGCUGCUAAUACCGGAUAUGCACUAUGUACGCAUGUUCUGUUUUGUGGAAGGUUUGUCGGUUGGGGCUGGGCUCGCGGCCUAUCAGCUUUUUGGUGAGGUAAUGACUCACCAAGGCGUCGACGGGUAGCCGGCCUGAGAGGGUGACCGGCCACACUGGGACUGAGACACGGCCCAGACUGCUACGGGAGGCAGCAGUGGAGAAUAGUGCACAAUGGGCGAAAGCCGGAUGCAGCAACGCCGCGUGAGGGAUGACGGCCUUCGGGUUGGAAACCUCUUUUAGCAGGGAAGAAGCGAGAGUGACGGUACCUGCAGAAAAAGCGCCGGCUAACUACGUG